CUGGAGACACACCUGUGGCGCAUCAAGAGAACUGAUUCUGUGGAUAUUUAAGAAGCAGCGAGUCGUUGCCUGAGUGUUUGUUUUACCUGGUUUUGCCUGAGGUUCUCAAGAACGGAGUUUAUACUAACUCCUGCGAACCCCCCGCCCGUCUGCUUCUCCAAGACGCCAUUGGUAUUACCAAUUGGUUGCCUUCCCUGAGAACUCCCUUCCUGGUCCUUUGUUCUCUGUGGAUUCAGCAGUACGUACUUGGUCGUGCCCGAAGCCGCCCAGCUUCUCAUCCUCCGGACCUUUGUCAGCCGUCAGCUCGCCCUCCACACAGCCAUCUUACCUGUCCGUCCUCCCACGGCCCCUUGGUUCUCCUCGCCGUCUUCGGAUAUCUGUCUACUCCAACAAGUACUCACUCUGCUCUAAAUGGCUGKUCUGGUGGUUCCGAUCCUGAUUCCUGCUCCACACUCACUCCCUUUCCCUUUACAAUAAACCAUA
Poecilia reticulata (guppy) is the source of this 483-nucleotide non-coding RNA. The record is from RefSeq and is a predicted model, not a curated record. Lineage: Eukaryota; Metazoa; Chordata; Actinopteri; Cyprinodontiformes; Poeciliidae.